Molecule: ribosomal RNA, 497 nt
Filed under: uncultured bacterium
Lineage: Bacteria
Description: partial 16S ribosomal RNA
Rfam family: Bacterial small subunit ribosomal RNA
Source: RNAcentral
GAUGAACGCUGGCGGCGUGCCUAAUACAUGCAAGUCGAGCGAACAGACGAGGAGCUUGCUCCUCUGACGUUAGCGGCGGACGGGUGAGUAACACGUGGAUAACCUACCUAUAAGACUGGGAUAUCUUCGGGAAACCGGAGCUAAUACCGUAUAAUAUAUUGAACCGCAUGGUUCAAUAGUGAAAGACGGUUUUGCUGUCACUUAUAGAUGGAUCCGCGCCGCAUUAGCUAGUUGGGAAGGUAACGGCUUACCAAGGCAACGAUGCGUAGCCGACCUGAGAGGGUGAUCGGCCACACUGGAACUGAGACACGGUCCAGACUCCUACGGGAGGCAGCAGUAGGGAAUCUUCCGCAAUGGGCGAAAGCUUGACGGAGCAACGCCGCGUGAGUGAUGAAGGUCUUCGGAUCGUAAAACUCUGUUAUUAGGGAAGAACAAAUGUGUAAGUAACUAUGCACGUCUUGACGGUACCUAAUCAGAAAGCCACGGCUAACUACGUG